UGCGACUGGUCGCGAUGACGUACGGUUCCAGCCUGGUCGCCUGAACCGUGCCGAGCGAGUGGCGAAACCUGCACCGGUCCCA
This 82-nucleotide non-coding RNA is filed under the name unclassified sequences. Its description in RNAcentral is "c-di-GMP sequence". It matches the Rfam family "c-di-GMP-II-GAG riboswitch aptamer". The record is from RNAcentral.